GUUUUGAUGAGGGACGAUGGAUUGUUUGUUUUUACAUGAAAGAUGAAAGUUGAUAUUCUAAGUAUGAAUGACUUUAAAUGUGAUAGUUGUUGAUCUAUGAGGUGGUGAAAUGUGUUGUGAAAUUAGAAUGCCUAAGACUAAGCUAGAUGGAAUGUGCGCGAACCAUAGUUGUAAGUUGACAAUUUAUCUAUCGCUUUCCCGAGCGAUGAAAACGAACGAGAAAGGGAAGAGGGGCGAAAUUCCUAGAUUACCAAGAUACGAGACAAGGAGAUCGAGAGUGCGAAUGGAGGCCGGUGAACCAUGAAACUUUUUCUAUUCUUUGGAAUGGCGCGGAACGUUGAAGCAAGCUUAGUGUGUGAACUAUUUUACUAUUUUCUAUCGUUUUUCGUGAAUGAUAAGGACAAAAGAAAUACGAGGAAGAUUUCAAGAAGAUGAUGAUAGAGAAGACGAAAUGAAGCUUCAAAAAAAAAAGGAGCGAAACAAGAAGAGCUGAUGCUAAGUGAUGUAGCUAAAUUCUCUCCACCAUCUUCCAAAAUCAAACUACGUAUUUGCAGUGAACAUUGGCGAACUUCUGCGUAGAAGAUAAAGACGAUUUCUGCAAAACGCUUGAAGAUAUUGUAAAAAUAAUGAAUGAGUUUUUAUUUUUUUAUUGUUUUUA
This is a long non-coding RNA of Salvia splendens (bonfire salvia), 658 nucleotides long. RefSeq lists it as uncharacterized. NCBI's taxonomy places the organism in Eukaryota, Viridiplantae, Streptophyta, Magnoliopsida, Lamiales, Lamiaceae. The record is from RefSeq and is a predicted model, not a curated record. The transcript has 2 exons.